RNAcentral lists this long non-coding RNA (272 nucleotides) under Olea europaea subsp. europaea. The record is from RNAcentral. Lineage: Eukaryota; Viridiplantae; Streptophyta; Magnoliopsida; Lamiales; Oleaceae.
GCACGAUCUAGGCAGCCUGCAUUCUGCUUCAAAAUCAUCUACUUAUGUCCCCCAACCCAAAUUUGCCUGCGUCCCCUAUCGCAAGCUAUUCCGUCCUUCUGAAACGCGUUACCCGCGCUAUCUUGCGACCGCUACCGGGACGGAUCGAAUGCGACCGCGUGACAUAAGUUACUCCCCCACUGAAUUUGGCGACGUACUCAUCGCCUUGUACCGCCGAAGCUUAGACCUUAAUUGCCAUAAGUCUAUCUCAUUUUCCCACCUUGUGCCAUGAC